Non-coding RNA from Poecilia reticulata (guppy), 2308 nucleotides. Lineage: Eukaryota; Metazoa; Chordata; Actinopteri; Cyprinodontiformes; Poeciliidae. The record is from RefSeq and is a predicted model, not a curated record.
UUCAUUGCUUCAUGAGGCUUCAUUUGCCCAUCACUACCACUAGGAUAUCAGUGCAACAUGCACCAGCCGCCGCCAGCAAUUUGUUGCCUUUCGCUGCCAGAGCCCACAGGACGCGAGCCACACAGUGGGAGAACAAAGACGACACUUGCCUGAAUGAACGCCGCAGCUCCUUGUAUACACCUCUCCCACUUUAAGAACAGAAAUGUCUCACCUGGAAACUAUUUGUGUAGGAUUAUGUAUAUUUCUAUAUCACUACACAUUGAACACUGCAUUGCAUUCUCUUACACUCCAUGUUGAUGAUCCACACACCUGUCAGUUUCCACUGAUGUGAUUGUCAUGAGUUGCUCACAUACAAAAUCAUAGCUUCACGAUGCAGUCUGCUUGUGUGGAAAUAACAGUAAUCUUAUUACUUUUUUGCAAGUGUAAUCUCUUACAUUACUCAUUGCUUGAAAAAAGUAAUCAGUUUACAGUAAAAGUUGCUUCUAACAUGUUACUGCAUUGGUUUUAGAGUGUUAUGUAGAACCAAGUUAAUAAUUAAUCACUGGAGAGGAAACUGUAAAAUAAAAUGUAUUCACACUCAAGGCAGCAGAUACACUGGUGUAUGUGGUGUCAACAUUGGCACUUCAGAGAACUUUGACUGUUCUGCAGAGUAGGUCUGCAGGUGGUGGUUGUUACAGGGCACACAAAUAAAGCCUAAAUGAAGGGAAAUUGUUCAAACAAAGAAGCAGGAUUUUGUAUGUAUUCUAGAUAAAAACCUUCCCUCUUCUAUUUACUAUGUAGAAGAGGGAAACAUAUUUUUUUCAAAUCAAGCAACUUUUUCAGGUUUUAUAACAUGCUGUAUUGUGAGAUUGAUGGACAAGUGUUAACUGUCUGGAUAGGUUCUGUAUACCAAUUUGUAAGCAACAUGUAUGUAGCAACAUUUUAAGUUGGACAGAUUUGCAGUGUGUUGAAAGGUGGACUGCCCAGGCAGAAGUGGAUUAUAGUGGAAGCUGCCCUGACUGAUGGCUGUUUUGUGUGAAUCUCCAUUCAGCCAGUGGCCCUCUCACUGUGCUCCGUAUCUUUACAUUGUGAAGUGUUCCCCCGCCUCAUUCACUAAUCCCCUUGUCCAUAUCUGCUCCGGCAGGGACUUCUUCUGCCUACAUGCAUGGUUAACAAUGAUUAUACCUACAGAUUUUCACUCAAACAUCUUCUCACACUCAGCCCUUUGUGGCAUCAACAUAUCUAGGUAGGUGAAAAUAUUUCCCACUGUAUUUCCACCCAUAGCAAUACAAUAUUAACACACUGUUGCUACAGCUUCACACAUUUUAUUUGAGAGGAGUGUCUGCAUACAGUAAAAGUGUUAAUUUGACUAAAAGGAGGUAGUUGUACGGUUUUGGACAUUGGUACUUCCAAGCAUUGAAGUGCCAACAUACAACAUAUGGCUCCUACACAGUGGCUUAUGCAAAGUGUUCCUCUUGACAUCUCCAACAUAAUUUCUAGCCAACAUUUCUUGUUAGUGUGGAUACACUUUGAAUGGGAACCAGCACUGAGGCCCUCCAGUUCCUCAUGUAGCAAUGCUAGAUAAUGAUGUCUGUUGAGAGAUAUUCUUGGAAGUCAUCUAGCAUGUAGACCAUGCAAUAUAUAAAAUUCAAGACCUCCAACCUUUGGUCCAGGAUAUGGUGGUAUUUGAUGUUGCUGGCCAACAAUCCUUGCCCCCGCUUCUGUCGGAGAUUCCGAGUCACCUGUUCUGGGUUCCUGCGCUGCUGUCACGGAGGAGACGUCAUCGUCGUUGCGGCUCUCGGGUGCCUCGGCAUUUCUCGGAUCCCGUUGAUGUCUGCUUGGUGCCCGUGGUCGGCGUUGAUGCCCCUCGACACCGCCAUCCUUGCACUUCCAGGCUCAACAUUCGCCGACGGUGUCUCCAAACCCUGAAACCGCUGUGCCGGGUUUCCCGACCUGUUGUAGCCCAUGCUCCAGUUCCUGUCAGGAUUGGCCUGGUAAACGCCAGGUCUCUUGGGAAUAAAACUUUUAUUCUUCGGGACUUUUUCAGUUACCAAAACCUGGAUUUUCUGUGUGUGACUAAGACGUGGCUGAGUGUUGGUGAGUCCAGUUCUCUAUCUGAGCUUUUACCAGCGGACUGUUCUUAUUUUAAUUCACCACGGGCUUCAGGGAGAGGGGGAGGCACAGCGACUGUUUAUAAACGGGACUACAAAUGUAAGCUGUGUUUUCUACAGACGUCUUUCCCCAGCUUUGAGUUUACGUCAUUUGAAAUGAGACACGUAAACCCAGUUUUCUGURCUGUCGUUUACUGGCCCCCCAAAUAUAAWAAGGA